CCUACGGGAGGCAGCAGUGGGGAAUAUUGCACAAUGGGGGAAACCCUGAUGCAGCGACGCCGCGUGAGUGAAGAAGUAUUUCGGUAUGUAAAGCUCUAUCAGCAGGAACGAGACAAGACGGUACCUGACGAAGAAGCCCCGGCUAACUACGUGCCAGCAGCCGCGGUAAUACGUAGGGGGCAAGCGUUAUCCGGAAUCACUGGGUGUAAAGGGAGCGUAGACGGCUGAGCAAGCCUGAAGUGAAAGGCGGGGGCCCAACCCCCGGACUGCUUUGGGAACUGUACGGCUGGAGUGCAGGGGAGGUAAGUGGAAUUCCUGGUGUAGCGGUGAAAUGCGUAGAUAUUGGGAGGAACACCGGUGGCGAAGGCGGCUUACUGGACUGUAACUGACGUUGAGGCUCGAAAGCGUGGGGAGCAAACAGGAUUAGAUACCCCAGUAGUC
Molecule: ribosomal RNA, 441 nt
Filed under: uncultured bacterium
Lineage: Bacteria
Description: partial 16S ribosomal RNA
Rfam family: Bacterial small subunit ribosomal RNA
Source: RNAcentral